RNAcentral lists this ribosomal RNA (1204 nucleotides) under metagenome. RNAcentral's name for it is "bacterial LSU rRNA". It matches the Rfam family "Bacterial large subunit ribosomal RNA", at positions 1564 to 2817 of the family's 2925-position model. The record is from RNAcentral.
UGAAUACGAGACGCUACGGCGUCGAAGCAGUCUAUGUCAUACUUCCAAGAAAAGCUCGCAAUGUCAUAAACAAAUAAUGCCUGUACCAUAACCGACACAGGUGGGUAGGUAGAGUAUACUAAGGGGCGCGAGAUAACUCUCUCUAAGGAACUCGGCAAAAUGACUCCGUAACUUCGGGAGAAGGAGUGCCUUAUUUAUAAGGUUGCAAUAACAAGAUCCAAGCAACUGUUUAUCAAAAACACAGGUCUCCGCUAAGUCGUAAGACGAUGUAUGGGGGCUGACGCCUGCCCAGUGCCAGAAGGUUAAAGAAGUUGGUUAGCAUUCGCGAAGCUGAUAACUGAAGCCCUGGUGAACGGCGGCCGUAACAAUAACGGUCCUAAGGUAGCGAAAUUCCUUGUCGGGUAAGUUCCGACCCGCACGAAAGGCGUAAUGAUUUGGAUACUGUCUCGGAGAGGGGCUCGGUGAAAUAGACUUGUCUGUGAAGAUGCGGACUACCUGCACCUGGACAGAAAGACCCUAUGAAGCUUUACUGUAACUUGAAAUUGAAAUUGGACUUUAUUUGCGCAGCAUAGGUGGGAGGCGUUGAGAGUAUCCUUGCGGGAAUAUUGGAGCCAUCAGUGAGAUACCACUCUUGUAAUGUUAGAUUUCUAACUUUGGAUCAUUAUCUGGUCAAAGAACAGUUUCAGGCGGGCAGUUUGACUGGGGCGGUCGCCUCCCAAAUGGUAACGGAGGCGUACAAAGGUUUCCUCUGAACGGGUAGAAAUCGUAUCUAGAGUGUAAAGGCAUAAGGAAGCUUGACUGUGAGACCUACAAGUCGGGCAGGGACGAAAGUCAGUCAACGGAUAAAAGUUACUCUAGGAUAACAGGCUGAUCUCCCCCAAGAGUUCACAUCGACGGGGAGGUUUGGCACCUCGAUGUCGGCUCAUCGCAUCCUGGGGCGGUAGUACGUCCCAAGGGUUGGGCUGUUCGCCCAUGAAAGCGGUACGCGAGCUGGGUUCAGAACGUCGUGAGACAGUUCGGUCCAUAUCCGGUGUAGGCGUUAGAAUAUUGAGAGGAGCCUUCUUUAGUACGAGAGGACCGAGAAGGACAUACCUCUGGUGUACCAGUUAUCGUGCCAACGGUAAACGCUGGGUAGCUAUGUAUGGAGAGGAUAACCGCUGAAAGCAUCUAAGUGGGAAGCCCACCUCAAGAUAAGAAUUCUCAU